This 254-nucleotide ribosomal RNA is filed under the name uncultured bacterium. Its description in RNAcentral is "partial 16S ribosomal RNA". It matches the Rfam family "Bacterial small subunit ribosomal RNA", at positions 524 to 776 of the family's 1533-position model. The record is from RNAcentral.
UACGUAGGGAGCAAGCGUUGUUCGGAUUUACUGGGCGUAAAGGGCGCGUAGGCGGCGCGGUAAGUCACUUGUGAAAUCUCUGAGCUUAACUCAGAACGGCCAAGUGAUACUGCAGUGCUAGAGUGCAGAAAGGGCAAUCGGAAUUCUUGGUGUAGCGGUGAAAUGCGUAGAUAUCGAGAGGAACACCUGAGGCGAAGGCGGGUUGCUAGGCUGACACUGACGCUGAGUGCGCGAAAGCCAGGGGAGCAAACGGG